Molecule: long non-coding RNA, 798 nt
Organism: Hyalella azteca
Lineage: Eukaryota; Metazoa; Arthropoda; Malacostraca; Amphipoda; Hyalellidae
Exons: 2
Source: RefSeq, a predicted model, not a curated record
GACCAGCGCGCCCUGGACCUUCUGCUGCAGGUGGUGGGGGAAGACCGAGUGGUGCUGGGUUCAGACUACCCAUUCCCACUGGGGGAACACGUCCCAGGACAGCUGGUGCGCCAGUCGUCCCUUCCUCAAGAUGUGAAGAGCAAAAUACUCUUCACGAACGCGAUGGACUUCCUUGGCCUAGACUCUAGCAUGUACACUUGAGUUAUGCUCUAACCACGUAAGAGCGACUCUCAUCAAUUGUCGUACAACCUUUCAAAGACUUUAAUAACUCAUCCUUGAAUUCAUUGCAUGAAUAGUCUGUUGCGCAACAAUUCAGGGAAAGUUCAUUUAAAUUUUGCUGUUUUAUUCGUUUAUUCUGAGGUUUUUGGUAAUUUUUUAUAUCGCUCUGUGCAUAGCGAAAUGUUCAGGUGGAAUUUUUUCGCAGCUUAAAUAUCAACAAAUUCGUUAUCCUGUUUAUCCAUUUGGUUGUAGUCAUUUUUUGAGUGAAGUACUUGUUCCGAAUUUGUUUGAGUCAUCAUUUUUGAAAUUUUUACUAGCAUUACAGAUAUGCGUGUGAUAAAGUGAAUAGACAGGGCACUAAACCGGUGAUAGGCGGAUAAUUAGGUUCAAUAAGUAGAUGCUUGAGGGUUUAGUUAAGAUUGAAUGAGGUAGAGGAGGCUUGAUGGAUUUUCAUUUUCAAGAGGAUAUUAGUGAUGGGUUCAUCUAUUUACGUUACAUACGGUUUGGUGAGCAUUUUCUGGGAGGGGAAAAUGUUGUGUUCUCUCUUAAAUAUGAUUUUCUAAUAAAUGUUAAAGAGAU